This 386-nucleotide ribosomal RNA is filed under the name uncultured bacterium. RNAcentral describes it as "bacterial SSU rRNA". It matches the Rfam family "Bacterial small subunit ribosomal RNA", at positions 29 to 417 of the family's 1533-position model. The record is from RNAcentral.
AUUGAACGCUGGCGGCAUGCUUUACACAUGCAAGUCGAACGGUAACAGGCCGCAAGGUGCUGACGAGUGGCGAACGGGUGAGUAAUGCAUCGGAACGUGCCCAGUCGUGGGGGAUAACGCAGCGAAAGCUGCGCUAAUACCGCAUACGAUCUGUGGAUGAAAGCGGGGGGACCGUAAGGCCUCGCGCGAUUGGAGCGGCCGAUGUCAGAUUAGGUAGUUGGUGAGGUAAAGGCUCACCAAGCCGACGAUCUGUAGCUGGUCUGAGAGGACGACCAGCCACACUGGGACUGAGACACGGCCCAGACUCCUACGGGAGGCAGCAGUGGGGAAUUUUGGACAAUGGGCGCAAGCCUGAUCCAGCCAUGCCGCGUGAGUGAAGAAGGCCU